Molecule: non-coding RNA, 1452 nt
Organism: Xyrichtys novacula (pearly razorfish)
Lineage: Eukaryota; Metazoa; Chordata; Actinopteri; Labriformes; Labridae
Source: the annotation of a GenBank genome assembly
GGGCAAACUUGGCCGGGGCUGUGAGUGACAUCAUUUGGAAGUGGAGCCUCUUUGCCUGAACAGGAAGGUUAUAAAAGGAACUGGCGGAGGACUGGGAGAGCAGCGGGAUGUGUCAGACAAUUUCAGCGUGUAUGUGACUGUAUUCUUUCGUGCCCCGCUGUGCGUGAUUCUUGUCUGUGUGUCUGUCACACUUUCAGCAUGAGAUAAGCGUGAUGGAUGUUGUAAGAGUUGUCUGUCAGGUUUAUAAUCAUAGUUAUUACAGCGAGUGGGAGACACACAGACACAGAGGGGGGAGAGGAGACACGUUCCAGGCUGUACGCAGCGUAAACAGGAAACAUCCAAACGUCUGAGACAGCGUGAUCUCGGUUCGUUCUGAUCCGUCAUUCACUUCUGAUAGUAUUGACAAAUUUCAAAGAGCACAUUGUAAGGUAAAACUAAAUGAAACUCCCCCAAUCAGAGUUGAGUCUUGCAGCUAUUUUGGGUUCAGACCCAGGGGGAGCAGAGGACUUGUUUUGAUGUAGGAGCAGAGAGUUUCAAAGGGGACUAAGGGUUCUGACCCUUAGGGGGCCUUAGGUGGCCCGUUACUCAUUCUGUAAGGUCAAUUAGUUCUUUUUAAACAACUUUUGAGCUGUCAAAAGUACUUUAAAUGGAAACAACACAGACAAAGUCACAGCUGUGGCUCAGUGGUAGGGUUGGGGUUCAAUUCCAGGUCUCGCUGUUUUCAGAACAAAGUGGCGUAGAAUUCUGUACGUUCAUUGGAACACUGUAAAUCCCUUUAAAUGCGGUCUCCUAGGUUUUUGGAGGAACUGGCAGUAGUUGCGAUUCAGCCAUGUUAACUCAUUCAGUGCCAAUGACAGAUUUGGACUGAUUUUUUUAUUUUCUCUGAGCACCAUUGACGGAUUUUGAAGUGUGCCAAUUAGACUAGUUGUGGAGUGUUUUUUCUCCAUGAGGAGAGGAGGAAUACGCCGAAGUCUUUAGCCAAGAGCUAGCGGUCUCAGCAAAUUGGCUCCCGUAGGCGGUGGUGCAACCGCCUCUGGAUCCAGUGGAGAUCCUGCUACCGGACCUUCACAUCAUCAGCAGACAAUCACAGAAAUGAUUUUCCAGCGUGUCGUUGUUCCAUCGGUGCUGGUACUGGUGAGUGAGACUGAGCUGGAAUUCAGCGACAGUCCGUGUGGUUCACGUCAUGGCGUCAGGUUCUCGAGAGCCAAUACGACUCAAGGCACAUCUUAAAACAGUCCAUAUGACGGGCUUCAGGACUGAUCAACAUUUUCAGAUUGUAUUGUCUUUCAUUUUUCUGUUAUUUUUCCUGUUUGAUGUCAUUGUGAAAAGAAUUAAGCUCUGUCUUUAGGUGUAGGUGUCUGAGGUCAGCUUGAGACUUUGCAGGUCCACAACAGUCCUCCACAGGAACCUCUGUGAUGCUGAAUUGCAGAAACCGUUGGGAAUAGGGUCAAG